Non-coding RNA from Paramuricea clavata, 206 nucleotides. NCBI's taxonomy places the organism in Eukaryota, Metazoa, Cnidaria, Anthozoa, Malacalcyonacea, Plexauridae. The record is from the annotation of a GenBank genome assembly.
CAAGGUUUAUUUCGAGUGCCACAUCGACAACUUGAUGAGCACACGACAUUUCGACCCUUGCAAGGGCAUCCUCGGCUACUAUUUUCCUUCCUUUUAGUACUACAAGAGCUCUUGCAUUCACAAUACUCAACCUAUGUCGUGUUCAUGAAAGAUCGAUCAAUUUCCCACAAAAAUAUAUGUAAAUUUAUUCAUGUUUUCUUACCGUA